GAUGAACGCUGACAGAAUGCUUAACACAUGCAAGUCCACUUGAAUUUGGGUUUUUACCUUAGGUUUGGGUGGCGGACGGGUGAGUAACGCGUAAAGAACUUGCCUCACAGCUAGGGACAACAUUUGGAAACGAAUGCUAAUACCUAAUAUUAUGAUAAUAGGGCAUCCUAUAAUUAUGAAAGCUAUAAGCGCUGUGAGAGAGCUUUGCGUCCCAUUAGCUAGUUGGAGAGGUGACGGCUCACCAAGGCGAUGAUGGGUAGCCGGCCUGAGAGGGUGAUCGGCCACAAGGGGACUGAGACACGGCCCUUACUCCUACGGGAGGCAGCAGUGGGGAAUAUUGGACAAUGGACCGAGAGUCUGAUCCAGCAAUUCUGUGUGCACGAUGAAGUUUUUCGGAAUGUAAAGUGCUUUCAGUUGGGAAGAAACAAAUGACGGUACCAACAGAAGAAGUGACGGCUAAAUACGUG
RNAcentral lists this ribosomal RNA (467 nucleotides) under uncultured bacterium. RNAcentral's name for it is "partial 16S ribosomal RNA". It matches the Rfam family "Bacterial small subunit ribosomal RNA", at positions 28 to 507 of the family's 1533-position model. The record is from RNAcentral.